GGCCUUGGAGAUCGAUGACGAUGAGUAGGUUCUGGUCGCCGUCGUGGUACUCGUGGUAGGCCGACAGCUGAUGCAAGUUCGGCCAAUACCAAGUUAGGAUACCCUGAAAGAGACGGUUCAGUUGCUGAACGUCAGUGUGAGCUAUGAAAAGGCCUACUCCUUCAAUCUAUUGUAAGGCACAACCAUACAGGAAUAAAACUUAAAGCCUAGGUUAGAUAGACAUCAGAGUGUAUGAAAAAAGACAUGGUUGAUAGCAGCCAUCCAAGAUUAAAGAUGAUUGGUGAGUUAAGACACCUACUUAUCGUUUUUUUUUUCACUUACCAUCAUUCUUACACGAUUCUCACCCGCUUAUCAGAUCGUGCUGCAAUAUUGAGUUUGUGGUGGCUUCCAUUUGUAUCUCAACCAUGUUGAGAAAUUUCCGUUUGGCUUUCCUCCAUGAGCUUUUAUAGUAAUUGUGGUUUUGGUGUACUUAAAUAUCUUCCAUAGCAUCCAAUUGGUAUAUACUAAUUAAAAUUUUCCAUUUAUAUUCGCUGCUCACAGAUCUCACCAGAAGCAUGCAUGUUCGCUGAUGCUGACCAUUAUAAGACUACAACUAUGUGUCUGUACAAUACUAUGUUACAACUGCGGUGAAAUUUGGGGAUGUCUCCACAGUUUUUCAGAACAAACCUCUGGUCAUCUGUUGAUUGUUCAACAAGCUUCGUUUUCAGGACUUCUAAUUGACCAAAGAGCAAGCAUGACAGUUCAAUCUUUUUUCCAAAUAUGUUCUCAAUAACAGAGUAAUCUGGUGAGGUGUUGAAUGGAUCUUCUUGAACUCCAGUACAUGUAAGCAUUCUUUUAGCGUGCAGAUUAACCACUUCUCUCUCUUGUAGUUUUGGUGGCCUAACUGGGCAGUUCUGUUUUGCACUACAUUGGCACCUUUUGGGGUUCUGGACUUAUGGUUGCAUAAAGUCUUUAUAUAUCGAUGUAGCAUGGU
Molecule: long non-coding RNA, 973 nt
Organism: Lolium rigidum
Lineage: Eukaryota; Viridiplantae; Streptophyta; Magnoliopsida; Poales; Poaceae
Exons: 3
Source: RefSeq, a predicted model, not a curated record